This 500-nucleotide ribosomal RNA is filed under the name uncultured Glomeromycotina. RNAcentral describes it as "partial small subunit ribosomal RNA". It matches the Rfam family "Eukaryotic small subunit ribosomal RNA", at positions 591 to 1092 of the family's 1831-position model. The record is from RNAcentral. Lineage: Eukaryota; Fungi; Glomeromycota.
CCAAUAGCGUAUAUUAAAGUUGUUGCAGUUAAAAAGCUCGUAGUUGAAUUUCGGGAUCAAUAUGUUGGUCGUGCCUUUGGUACGUACUGGCAUUAUUGGUUUCUACCUUCUGAAGAACCUCGAUGUCAUUAAUUUGUUGUCUUGGGGAAUCAGGCCUGUUACUUUGAAAAAAUUAGAGUGUUUAAAGCAGGCUCGCGCUUGAAUACAUUAGCAUGGAAUAAUGAAAUAGGACGUUUGAUUCUAUUUUGUUGGUUUCUAGGAUCGACGUAAUGAUUAAUAGGGAUAGUUGGGGGCAUUAGUAUUCAAUUGUCAGAGGUGAAAUUCUUGGAUUUAUUGAAGACUAACUACUGCGAAAGCAUUUGCCAAGGAUGUUUUCAUUAAUCAAGAACGAAAGUUAGGGGAUCGAAGACGAUCAGAUACCGUCGUAGUCUUAACCAUAAACUAUGCCGACUAGGGAUCGGAUGAUGUUAAUUUUUUAAUGACUCAUUCGGCGCCUUACG